RNAcentral lists this ribosomal RNA (782 nucleotides) under uncultured Neocallimastigales. RNAcentral describes it as "partial large subunit ribosomal RNA". It matches the Rfam family "Eukaryotic large subunit ribosomal RNA", at positions 24 to 649 of the family's 3401-position model. Lineage: Eukaryota; Fungi; Neocallimastigomycota; Neocallimastigomycetes; Neocallimastigales. The record is from RNAcentral.
UAUCUCUGUAGAGUCUGCAUAUCAAUAAGCGGAGGAAAAGAAACUAACAUAGGAUUCCCUCAGUAACGGCGAGUGAAGCGGGAAGAGCUCAAAUUUGAAAUCUUCAAGGUUCUACCUUGACGAAUUGUAGUUUAUAGAAGUGUUUUCUGUUAGUGGAGUGGCAAAAGUUCUUUGGAAUAGGACAUCACAGAGGGUGAGAAUCCCGUAUUUGGUCAUUCCUCCUAGCGUUGUGAUACACUUUCAACGAGUCGGAUUGUUUGGGAAUGCAGUCCAAAGUGGGUGGUAAAUUUCAUCUAAAGCUAAAUAUUGGCGAGAGACCGAUAGCGAACAAGUACCGUGAGGGAAAGAUGAAAAGAACUUUGAAAAGAGAGUUAAACAGUACGUGAAAUUGUCAAAGGGAAGCGUUUGACACCAGUGUUGCUUUUCCGAAAAUCAAUUAAGAAUGUUUUAGUUUUUGAGGAGUUAUGACUUCAUCGGCUUGCUCCUUUCUUUACUGAAACUUUCUUAAUGCACUUUUCGGUUAACAAGUCAACAUCAAUUUCUUUUGUUGUAAAAGGAGUAUGAGGAAGGUGGCUUUCUUUUCGGAGAAAGUGUUUAUAGCCUUGUAGCUUCUGCAAUCGGAGAGAUUGAGGUCUGCAGCGUAGAUCCUUCGGGGUUAGAUACAGUUUGUGCUAAGUUAUAGCCUUUUCAUAGACAACUUGUUGAUUAUGAUUAAGUCAUUGUAGCUUACUCGCUUAUGCUAUUUUACCUACGCUUAGGAUGUUGAGUAGCGACAUACGCAC